This 33-nucleotide ribosomal RNA is filed under the name Clavulina craterelloides. Its description in RNAcentral is "partial large subunit ribosomal RNA". RNAcentral also lists the same sequence under 3 other names. The record is from RNAcentral. Lineage: Eukaryota; Fungi; Basidiomycota; Agaricomycetes; Cantharellales; Hydnaceae.
UUGACCUCGAAUCAGGUGGGACUACCCGCUGAA